Molecule: ribosomal RNA, 216 nt
Filed under: uncultured bacterium
Lineage: Bacteria
Description: partial 16S ribosomal RNA
Rfam family: Bacterial small subunit ribosomal RNA
Source: RNAcentral
GAGCAACCUACCGAACUGUGGGGGGAUAGCCGGCCUAACGGCCGAGUAAUACCGCAUACGCUUUCAGUGAGGCAUUUCAUUGAAAGGAAACCUACGGGACAGAUCGAGGGGCUCGCGGCCUAUCAGCUAGUUGGUGAGGUAACGGCUCACCAAGGCAACGACGGGUAGCUGGUCUGAGAGGAUGGCCAGCCACAUUGGGACUGAGAUACGGCCCAG